CUACGGGUGGCACCAGUGGGGAAUAUUGCACAAUGGAGGAAACUCUGAUGCAGCAACGCCGCGUGGAGGAUGACACUUUUCGGAGCGUAAACUCCUUUUAUAUAGGAAGAAGAUGACGGUACUAUAUGAAUAAGCGCCGGCUAACUCCGUGCCAGCAGCCGCGGUAAUACGGAGGGCGCAAGCGUUACUCGGAAUCACUGGGCGUAAAGAGCGUGUAGGCGGAUUAAAAAGUCAGAAGUGAAAUCCUAUAGCUUAACUAUAGAACUGCUUCUGAAAACUCUUAAUCUAGAAUAUGGGAGAGGUAGAUGGAAUUUCUGGUGUAGGGGUAAAAUCCGUAGAGAUCAGAAGGAAUACCGAUUGCGAAGGCGAUCUACUAGAACAUUAUUGACGCUGAGACGCGGAAGCGUGGGGAGCAAACAGGAUUAGAUACCCGAGUAGUC
RNAcentral lists this ribosomal RNA (440 nucleotides) under uncultured bacterium. RNAcentral describes it as "partial 16S ribosomal RNA". It matches the Rfam family "Bacterial small subunit ribosomal RNA", at positions 339 to 795 of the family's 1533-position model. The record is from RNAcentral.